AGCCAGACACCAUGCUAAGUAAGUACCAAGUUAAAUACUUCAUCAUCCCCGGCCUCAAGAAGCCCAGAGUGAGCAAAGCUGUGCAGUUGAAAGGAUUAGCACGAAUCAUUCAUCUGGUGAUUACAGAUUUGCAAAGACUCAAAUACAUCCCAAGAUGGAAGAAUCACAGGGACUAUGUUGGAUGAAUGUACAUACAUUGGUCUAGCAGUUUGACUGAAUUGGAAAAUCAACAAGAAUUAG
Long non-coding RNA from Galeopterus variegatus (Sunda flying lemur), 240 nucleotides. RefSeq lists it as uncharacterized. NCBI's taxonomy places the organism in Eukaryota, Metazoa, Chordata, Mammalia, Dermoptera, Cynocephalidae. The transcript is spliced from 3 exons. The record is from RefSeq and is a predicted model, not a curated record.